AAUACAUCUUCUUUUAUUUAUUUUGAUGCAAGUAUUUCCAGACGGAGGGAGUACAUUUGAAGUUGUAGCCGGUGAUUUUACAUUUUUCCUAAAGGCCAUUUUCCAUUGGAACCAUCGAAUUCUUCUACAUUAUGAUUUGCAUCCCUCGCAGCCUCACUGAUGCCCGGGCGCCGCCGCGGCUGGAGCACCCGCCGCCGCUCUGCCGGUCACCAGCUCAUCGCCCCACGGUCAGAUAAUAGAGUAGAUCUUUCCAGAUCCAAGGCCUGAACCAGGCAGACACAACGAAAGGACUCCAGCAGUUCACUGAUCUCUCCUCUACUCCGUGGACAUCCGAAUUCCUUCCUUCACCCCGUCCCCCCGAUCUCCCCACGCCAUGUCCGACACGGGCGCCGGCGGCGACGAGGUCAUCCACGACGCCCCCGGCUUCAUUCGCGUCUACAAGAGCGGCCGCGUCGAGCGCUUCCUGCGGAUCGACUUCGCCCCGCCCUGUACCGACGCCGCCACCGGCGUCUCCUCGAAGGACCUCACCAUCCUCCCGGGAGCCGGCGUGUCGGCGAGAAUCUACCUCCCGCCUGCCCCCGCCGGCGGCCAACAGGGCAAGCUCCCCGUCCUCGUAUUCUUCCAUGGUGGUGCCUUCUGCCUCGGCUCGGCGUUCGACGCCGCCGCGUACGGCCACGCCAACCAGCUCGCCGCGCGGGCAGGCGCGAUCGUCGUGUCGGUGGAGUACCGCCUCGCGCCGGAGCACCCCGUCCCCGCGCUCUACGGGGACGCCUGGGCGGCGCUCCAGUGGGUGGCCGCGCACGAGGGCGGCCAGGGCGCGGAGCCCUGGCUGACCAACCACGCGGACUUCGGGCGCGUCCACGUGGGCGGCGAGAGCGCCGGCGCCAACAUCGCGCACCACGCCGCAAUGCGUGCCGGUGCCGAGGAGCUGGGCCACGGUGUGAAGGUGAGCUCGCUCGUGCUGAUCCAUCCCUACUUCUUGGGGGGCGACAGCUCUGAGUCGGACGAGAUGGGCAUGGCGUUGCUCGACGAGCUGGUGCGGCUUUGGCCGGUGGUCUGCCCGGGGACCAGUGGGUGCGACGACCCGUGGAUCAACCCGAUGGCGGAGGGAGCGCCCAGCCUGGCCGGGCUGGGGUGCAAGCGCGCUCUGGUAUGCGUUGGGGGCAAGGACGCCAUGAGGGGAAGGGGAAGGCUGUACCGUGAGAAAUUGAUUGGGGGUGGGUGGCAAGGUGAGGUGGAAAUCUGGGAGGCGGAUGGGCAGGGUCACGGCUUCCAUCUCUUCCGGCCGACAUGCGCCCAGGCGGAAGCACAGGUCCGCGUCAUCGCUGAGUUUUUGGGCCACCGAUGAGAUCUUCCAUUCUGCACUCAUUCACAUGGCCAAGACUAAGAGAUGUAAGGCUUCUCUUAAAAGUGCAAUCCUAUUGAGCAACUGUGAAAAUGUCGCUGAUACAGUGGUGCUGGUCAAGCAGGCCAUGACCACUAUGACGAUCCAUCAGUCAUACAACCAAUAGAUGUUUACACAUAUUGAUAUUGCAUUAAUAUGUUUUCACGAGUCGAGCAAGGUUUUUAUGAAAAGAACCUGCAUGACAAGAGGGGUCUUCAGUGUCAAUGGUGCCAGCAGCCAGACAACAGACUGAACUGAAAUGUAGUCAGCACUAGCAUGCCAGGUAACUGCUGCAUACCUUCUUGUGAAUUAUGUGAGGAUGUAUAAUUUUCUUGGGAUACAUAUAUUGGCCUUACUUUGAAGCAAUCACCUGGCUAAUUUACAAAACUAACUACUUGCUGCUGAUUGUAAGGAUGCAUAAUUUUCUAGGGACACAUAUCAACCUACUUCGAAGUAGUCACUUGCCUCAUUACAGAACUAACUACUUAGUACUGACAUGAUGACUUCUCCUUAUGUGGCUUUGAAGUGCCAUUAUUUAUUUAUUUUGAAACGAAUAGGCAAAAGCCUCACAUACUUAUAUUAAAAGAAGAGUUACAAUAUGUACAAGGGUCUCUGGCUACAAAAGCAAGAUUUGAUAAUCCUUAAUGGCAUCGGUAAUGAAAAAUUGUACUGCUAGUAGCAACUGGCUGGAACUAGUUCUACAGCUCACUUUUCUGUACAUCGCAUGAUCCAAACUCAGCAAGAUGGGUGAUAUCAUCAAUAUUUUCUGGGAGCCUCUACUCUUCCAGUGUUCUGAAAAAUCCAUGUGAUGUCUUUCUCUUGAUUGGUACUUCUCGACAUCUCCAACAUCCUCAGGCCCAAAGAAAGAAAAUGAAUCAUCAGUGGCAUCUUGGAGGCCAUGCAUACUCAUUUCCAGCUUCUGAGCAUGCUGAAGAGUUUCUGCCAUGCUACCUCCAUGACAGACCACUUGAUUAUCUAAAUAUGUAAAUCAUUUCUCAUCUUCCAGAGAACCCACAACAAUGCUAAGGAUAUUCACGUUAACUAUUACUGGCAUGCCAUGCAUUAUAUCUGUUUAUCUUGAUUUAUGCAGUGAGUUUCCAUGGCUCUAUCUGACUACAGUUCCGUCCAUAUAAGCUAGCAGUAUCAGUUGUUUUAAUAUUUAGUCUUCACCUCCCAUGUAGGAAAAGCUAUGCAGUAACUUCACAUUGUUUUAUCUGACUGCAAUUGCAUGGUUGCGCCCAUAUAAGUUUGCACAAUGAAUUGUUUUAACUUUUGUUCUCCAUCUUCCAUGUAUGAAUCAGAGAAAGCGUGACUGGAAACUAGGUUAUUCGGUGAUGAAGCGAAGUAAGUUAGGUUUAUUUGAAUUUGGUAGAUAAUUUGUUGUUUUGAUUUUUUUUUCUGCAAGAGACAAAGAAUAGUAUGUAUCUGAUGCAAAAUAGAUUGUUCUUGAAUUAACUACUCUGGAUUUGUGAUAAAUAUUUUCCAUCGUUACCAUUCCUACGUUUUCUUCCUCUGGGAAUCAAACGAAUAUUCUAAUAUUUAUUUGUUCACGGGAUCUUAAAUCUAAUUGUUUUUCACAAUAUGAUAUUUUAAAUUAUCACAUGAUAUCUUACUUGACUGGCUACAUCACCUUUCCUUACACAUUUUACCUAGCCAAAGCUGAACGUUACACCAUUUCUCAAAAAUAAAAUAAAAUAAUUGAAGACUUACAUAAGUUCGUCGGAUCUAGACAACAAUCUUAUGUACUUAACUAGGAUAUCAUUUGGGUACAACGUGGAUGAGAAUACGUAAUCAAUGAUGCAACAACCGUCCAGCUAAAAGUAAACUGGCACAAAUUGAAUGCCACCAUGUUUUUUCCCCAUUGCUGCAUACUGCCUAAAAUUCAAAUGCUUCAGCAGUGCAGGUUCCUCGAUAUCAUCCUCAAAGGGCAUGCCUAAGACAUCCCAUUUAAGUCAAUCAACUCGUACUAGUACACAAAUUGUUCAUCAUAUUAUUUAGAUUGCGUGCAUCGCAAGUAUGGCCAUAUUGUGACAGAGCACAAAGCUAAGAUUUAUUAGCUCCAUGCAAGUUUAGGCCAACUUUCUAACAGGACCAACACUUGGGUCAUGGAAAUUCUCUUUUCCUGGCAGCGCCUUCAGGGCACUAGAAUAGCCCCUAGUCCAAGGGCAACUGAGAAAGAGACAUUUGUCCUUCUUGCAUUCGAACCUCAUAUUUUCAACAGAAAAUAAAGCGUGCACUUUUGCAACUUUAAUUCUACACAUCUUCUCAUGAAUGAAGAUUAUUAAGAUCGUAUUAUCGCACGUUUAAGUUAUUCGUAAUGACUAUUCCUGAAUGUUAUAGACCUACACUACCUGCAUUACCACGAAAGUUCUCAUCCAAAGUCUAUUAAUACGUGUGCUCUACAUUAACUUGAGGACUCAAAAUUGCCGUCCUUGGAGAACUACAAUUCUGU
RNA transcript from Triticum aestivum (bread wheat), 3836 nucleotides. It is a transcript of the gene named patatin-like protein 2, with no coding region annotated. Lineage: Eukaryota; Viridiplantae; Streptophyta; Magnoliopsida; Poales; Poaceae. The transcript has 3 exons. The record is from RefSeq and is a predicted model, not a curated record.